CACUCCAUUAUAGUCGGCAUCAGAAUUUAUUGCUGUCAAGAGUAAAAUACUGAAUUGGAACUUAUUACAAACUUUUAAUUAAAUUACAUCGCCGCCGGCAUUACGAUCGCCUAGUCAUAACCAAAGGGCCACAAUUCUAAAAUUGGAGUUUAAUUAAGUAGUACAUAAGCAAACUGCUAUUCUUGUUGGUUCAUUUAAUAUUGAUAGAGUGGCUAAACUAAAUCCGAUGUUAUAAAUUAUAUUAAAACAAUGAACAACAUGGUUCCCUUCACCGUGAAAAAAAUUUGUUAAACUUGUAUUUUAUUAACAACAUGCUUGUAGUUAAUUAUUUGUAGUGAAUUUUAAUUGCAAUUGGUUGUCGAAUUAACAUUAAGUUAAGUGAAAUUCUUCUGGUAGGUAAAAUUGGAAGUGUGAAUUUAACAAAAUCUAUUCGAGAAGAUUACUAAAACUUGUUGUCCAGUGUGAAAAGGUCACCACUGCAAUGGAGAAUAUGGUACAAAAAUUUAGUUGCUUUAAUUUAUUGUUGUCACCUCAGCUGUUUUUAUGCAGUUACUACGCCAAUAUAAAGAAAAUCUAAGAAGAGGAACAAUACACCGAUUAUCAUGCAAAAAUGUGCACCGAGUAGGAAUAAUCUGAAUUAAUUUUGAAAUAGAUACAUACAUGUUACAAUUCCAAUUUUCUUGCACCGCUAUCCAAUUAUUUUUGUGAUCUCGAUAGAGCAAUUACGCUGACGCUAUUGGACAACUUGGAUCAAGAAAAUUUGAUUCAACUGAAACUACCCGUAAAAUGGAACCGACCUAAAGAUUUCAGACCAAAAAGUGCCAGUAGAACACGUAAAAGAAAUAUUCAUGUACGUAUGAACACCGCCACUACAUAAAAUGUUAAAGCAACUACAUUUUACAGCAUAUUCUUCAUUGUAGUGGUUUAUAACAAUGGACGUAAAACCUAUUUUAGUAAUAUUCUUGAACGGAUUUUGUUAAUAAAAUGCAAAUUUAACAAAAUAUUUUUUACAGUGUACUGGGCCUAGAAAGGCUUGGAAUAUUAUUGUCAACGAAUUGCUUCUAUCAAAAUCAA
Long non-coding RNA from Agrilus planipennis (emerald ash borer), 1074 nucleotides. RefSeq lists it as uncharacterized. The record is from RefSeq and is a predicted model, not a curated record. The transcript has 3 exons. Lineage: Eukaryota; Metazoa; Arthropoda; Insecta; Coleoptera; Buprestidae.